GGGCAGCAACUGGACUUCGGUCUGGUGGCUGAUGGCGAACGGGUGAGUAAUGUAUCGGAACGUGCCUAGUAACGGGGAUAACUGCGCGAAAGCGUAGCUAAUACUGCAUCACGCGCCGGGGAAAACGGGGACCUUCGGGCCUCGCACUAUUAAACGGCCGAUAUCGGGAUGCGCCAGUUGGUGGGGUAACGGCUCACCAAAGCGGCAGUCGUAGCUGGUUUGAGAGGACGACCAGCCACACUGGGACUGGGUGACCAGACUCUGGGAGCAGCGGUGGGAGGUACGGACGUGGAAACCUUCAGUCAGCCAUCCCAUGUGUGUGAUGAAGGAGGCCUUCGGGUUGUAAAGCACUUUUGGCAGGAAAGAAACGGCGCAGGGUGUACCGUCGCGGCGAGCGAACGCCUGUGCGGUCAGCACCGGCUAACUACGUGCCAGCAGCCGCGGUAAUACGUAGAAGAUUCUGCUGGCGAUUAAUCGGAAUUACUGGGCGUAAAGCGUGCGCAGGCGGUUCAGGAAAGAAAGAUGUGAAAUCCCAGAGCUUAACUUUGGAACUGCAUUUUUAACUACCGAGCUAGAGUGUAUGUCAGGAGGUGGAAUUCCGCGGUAUGAGCAUUGAAAUGCGUAGAUAUGCGGAGGAACACCGAUGGCGAAGGCAGCCUCUGGGAUAACACUGACGCUCAUGCACGAAAAGCGUGGGGAGCAAACCGGAUUACGGAAUACCCUGGCUGGUCACGCCUAAACGAUGUCAACUAGCUGUUUAGGCCUUCGGGCCUUGGUAGCGCAACUAACGCGUGAAGUUGACCGCCUGGGAAGUACGGUCGCAAGAUUGUAAAACUCGGAAAAGAAUUGGCAGGACCCACCACAAGCAGUGGAUAGUGUGGAUUAAUUCGAUGCAACGCGAAAAACCGCCACCUACCCUUGACAUGUCACAGAAUCCCAGGGUUUGGAGUCUCGCCGGAAGACCGGAACACAGGUGCUGCAUGGCUGUCGUCAGCUCGUGUCGUGAGAUGUUGGGUUAAGUCCGCAACGAAGCGCGACGUCGUAGUUGCUACGAAAGGGCACUCUAAUGAGACUGCCGGUGACAAACCGGAGGAAGGUGGGGAUGACGUCUGAGAUCCUCAUGGCCCUUAUGGGUAGAGGCCACUACACACGAUAUACAAUGGUCGGGACAGAGGGUCAGCAACUGAACGCGAGAGGCAAUCCCCGAAGCCGAUCGUAGUCCGGAUCGCAGUCACAACUCGUAAGCGGAGAAGUCGGAAUCGCUAGUAGUCGCGGAUCAGCAUGUCGCGGUGAAUACGUUCCCGGGUCUUGUACACACCGCCCGUCACACCAUGGGGGUGGUUUUACCCGUGGAUCACAGCCUAACCGUAAGGAGGGCGAUUACCACGGAAGCAAGUUCAUGACUGGGGUAAGUCGUAACAAGGUAA
This 1427-nucleotide ribosomal RNA is filed under the name uncultured Bordetella sp. RNAcentral's name for it is "partial 16S-23S ribosomal RNA intergenic spacer". It matches the Rfam family "Bacterial small subunit ribosomal RNA". Lineage: Bacteria; Pseudomonadati; Pseudomonadota; Betaproteobacteria; Burkholderiales; Alcaligenaceae. The record is from RNAcentral.